GACGAACGCUGGCGGCGUGCUUAACACAUGCAAGUCGAACGGUGAAGCGCCUUCCUUUUUGGUGGGUGUGGAUGAGUGGCGAACGGGUGAGUAACACGUGAGUAACCUGCCCCCUUCUUCUGGAUAACCGCAUGAAAGUGUGGCUAAUACGGGAUAUUCUGGGUCUGUCGCAUGAUGGGUCUGGGAAAGAUAUUGUUUCGGUGGGGGAUGGGCUCGCGGCCUAUCAGCUUGUUGGUGGGGUGAUGGCCUACCAAGGCGGUGACGGGUAGCCGGCCUGAGAGGGUAGACGGUCACACUGGGACUGAGACACGGCCCAGACUCCUACGGGAGGCAGCAGUGGGGAAUAUUGCACAAUGGGCGCAAGCCUGAUGCAGCGACGCCGCGUGAGGGAUGGAGGCCUUCGGGUUGUGAACCUCUUUCGCCAGUGAAGCAGGCCUGCCUCGUUUGUGGGUGGGUUGACGGUAGCUGGAUAAGAAGCGCCGGCUAACUACGUG
RNAcentral lists this ribosomal RNA (494 nucleotides) under uncultured bacterium. RNAcentral's name for it is "partial 16S ribosomal RNA". It matches the Rfam family "Bacterial small subunit ribosomal RNA", at positions 28 to 507 of the family's 1533-position model. The record is from RNAcentral.